This is a long non-coding RNA of Gopherus flavomarginatus (Mexican gopher tortoise), 464 nucleotides long. RefSeq lists it as uncharacterized. NCBI's taxonomy places the organism in Eukaryota, Metazoa, Chordata, Testudines, Testudinidae. The transcript is spliced from 2 exons. The record is from RefSeq and is a predicted model, not a curated record.
CCUCCGGCGACUCUAGUGCGUUAUGACCUCACAACGGCCGGCGCUGGAGCCCGGCAGCGCGUGCCCAGUCCUCAGCCCGCGCGUGCUUCCGGCGCUCUAGGGCGGAGCAGCCAGUAGCGGCGCCCGACGGGGUUCGGGUUGCAGGGGCCCGGCCGCUCCACAGCUAGAAGGUAAACGGCGGGCGGCGCUAAUGGGCUGCGCCGCGCGUCAUCUUCGGGAGGGGAAGGAUUGAGACCCGUCCCGCCUCCUCUGAGGCGUGUUGCUGCGGCACUCAAGCCUAUCCCCAUCACAGAUUUUCCCCCUUUAUUGCUGCAAGAGGAACAUGGCAUAAACACAGUAAUGUACAGAAACAAACAAGUUCAGAAUGUGGCCAUCUUUCUAGAUUUUGUCAAUUCUUAGCUAAUUUUUAAACAAUUUUAAUUUUGUAAGAUAUCCUAGUUAACAAAAGUAAAGAACAAGAUGGA